CUAUCAUGAAAGUGAUGUGCUUACCCUUCCUUUAUUUUAAUUUAUAUUAACUAAAUACCUUGUUUAUAUUAUUCCUUCCAGGAACACAUCAGUACAACAGUAUACCCAUUUUAGAAGAUAAAACAGACUAUGGAACACCAUGGCUGACAUGGAAAAACUUAGAGAUAAUUGAUUUUACUCAUUUUGGUGAACUGUCUCCAGUUCAGAGGCACUGGUUGUCUUAUGAGGGACGCUGGGGUAAUCCAGAGUAUAACUGCCAUGCGAUGAUGGGAGGAUUCUGUGAAACAAAUCAGGGACCAACAGGAAUACCUAAGAAGAGGAUAAAUUUCCCAUGUCAAGGAUAGAUUAUUUUACAAACUCUUUCUUCAACAGAUUCAUGAAAAGCCAAUAUUUAAACAUAAAAAAAUGAAAUGUUCAAGAUCAUGACUUUUUAAAAUAAAUAAAUUAUUAAUUACUCA
Long non-coding RNA from Macrobrachium nipponense, 458 nucleotides. RefSeq lists it as uncharacterized. Lineage: Eukaryota; Metazoa; Arthropoda; Malacostraca; Decapoda; Palaemonidae. The record is from RefSeq and is a predicted model, not a curated record. The transcript is spliced from 2 exons.